UNGACACAGGAUAGGGGCAUGGUAGGCCAGGU
RNAcentral lists this non-coding RNA (32 nucleotides) under Homo sapiens (human). The record is from RNAcentral. Lineage: Eukaryota; Metazoa; Chordata; Mammalia; Primates; Hominidae.